Molecule: unclassified non-coding RNA, 256 nt
Filed under: plant metagenome
Description: partial contains small subunit ribosomal RNA, internal transcribed spacer 1, and 5.8S ribosomal RNA
Source: RNAcentral
UCUCCGUAGGUGAACCUGCGGAGGGAUCAUUCACAUGAUUUACUUUAUAAACAAACUGUGAACUUUAUUAUCAUACUAUUCUUGUAGGGAUUAUUUUAUAAUCUUUUACAACGUCAUUCGAUGAACAUUAGAUAGUUGGCUUGUUUUUUUUAAAUAAAAAACUUUCUUAGCUGAUUUGUUUGUUAGACUAAACAUCUAUUCAAUCAAUCAACCAAAAACAUAGAAACAACUCUAUGCCCUGGAUAUCUUGGUUCUC